GAUGAACGCUGGCGGCGUGCUUAACACAUGCAAGUCGAGCGAGUGAGUUCUUCGGAACGAUCUAGCGGCGGACGGGGGAGUAACACGUGGGCAACCUGCCUCAUAGAGGGGAAUAGCCUCUCGAAAGGGAGAUUAAUACCGCAUAAAAUUAUCGAGUGGCAUCACAUGAUAAUCAAAGGAGUAAUCAGCUAUGAGAUGGGCCCGCGGUGCAUUAGCUAGUUGGUAAGGUAACGGCCCACCAAGACGACGAUGCGUAGCCGACAUGAGAGGGUGAUCAGACAGAUUGGGACUGAGACACGGCCCAGACUCCUACGGGAGGCAGCAGUGGGGAAUAUUGCACAAUGGGGGAAACCCUGAUGCAGCAACGCCGCGUGAGUGAUGAAGGUCUUCGGAUUGUAAAGCUCUGUCUUUGGGGACGAUAAUGACGGUACCCAAGGAGGAAGCCACGGCUAACUACGUGCCAGCAGCCGCCGUAA
This 476-nucleotide ribosomal RNA is filed under the name uncultured bacterium. Its description in RNAcentral is "partial 16S ribosomal RNA". It matches the Rfam family "Bacterial small subunit ribosomal RNA", at positions 28 to 523 of the family's 1533-position model. The record is from RNAcentral.